This 433-nucleotide ribosomal RNA is filed under the name uncultured bacterium. RNAcentral describes it as "partial 16S ribosomal RNA". It matches the Rfam family "Bacterial small subunit ribosomal RNA", at positions 29 to 507 of the family's 1533-position model. The record is from RNAcentral.
AACGAACGCUGGCGGCAUGCCUAACACAUGCAAGUCGAACGAGAACUUCGGGUCUAGUGGCGACGGGGUGCGUACCGCGUGGGAACCUGCCAUUAGGUUCGGAAUAACUCUCCGAAAGGGGUGCUAAUCUCGGAUAAUGUCUUCGGACGAAAGAUUUAUCGCUUGUGGAUGGGCGCGAGUUGGAUUAGCUAGUUGGUAGGGUAAAAGCUUGCCAAGGCGACGAUCCAUAGCUGGUCUGAGAGGAUGAUCAGCCACACUGGGACUGAGACACGGCCCAGACUCCUACGAGAGGCAGCAGUGGUGGAUAUAGGACAGUGGGCGAAAGGCUGAUCCAGCGAGGCCGCGUGAGUGAUGUAGGCCUUGGGGUUGUAAAGCUCUAUUACCCAGGAUGAUAAUGACAGUACCUGGAGAAUAAGCUCCGGCUAACUCCGUG